Molecule: ribosomal RNA, 465 nt
Filed under: Vreelandella stevensii
Lineage: Bacteria; Pseudomonadati; Pseudomonadota; Gammaproteobacteria; Oceanospirillales; Halomonadaceae
Description: partial 16S ribosomal RNA
Rfam family: Bacterial small subunit ribosomal RNA
Source: RNAcentral
CCUACGGGUGGCUGCAGUGGGGAAUAUUGGACAAUGGGGGGAACCCUGAUCCAGCCAUGCCGCGUGUGUGAAGAAGGCCCUCGGGUUGUAAAGCACUUUCAGUGAGGAAGAACGCCUGGUGGUUAAUACCCAUCAGGAAAGACAUCACUCACAGAAGAAGCACCGGCUAACUCCGUGCCAGCAGCCGCGGUAAUACGGAGGGUGCGAGCGUUAAUCGGAAUUACUGGGCGUAAAGCGCGCGUAGGUGGCUUGAUAAGCCGGUUGUGAAAGCCCCGGGCUCAACCUGGGAACGGCAUCCGGAACUGUCAAGCUGGAGUGCAGGAGAGGAAGGUAGAAUUCCCGGUGUAGCGGUGAAAUGCGUAGAGAUCGGGAGGAAUACCAGUGGCGAAGGCGGCCUUCUGGACUGACACUGACACUGAGGUGCGAAAGCGUGGGUAGCAAACAGGAUUAGAUACCCUGGUAGUC